AUUGAACGCUGGCGGCAGGCCUAACACAUGCAAGUCGAACGGUAACAGGAAACAGCUUGCUGUUUCGCUGACGAGUGGCGGACGGGUGAGUAAUGUCUGGGAAACUGCCUGAUGGAGGGGGAUAACUACUGGAAACGGUAGCUAAUACCGCAUAACGUCGCAAGACCAAAGAGGGGGACCCUCGGGCCUCUUGCCAUCGGAUGUGCCCAGAUGGGAUUAGCUUGUUGGUGGGGUAACGGCUCACCAACGCGACGAUCCCUAGCUGGUCUGAGAGGAUGACCAGCCACACUGGAACUGAGACACGGUCCAGACUCCUACGGGAGGCAGCAGUGGGGAAUAUUGCACAAUGGGCGCAAGCCUGAUGCAGCCAUGCCGCGUGUAUGAAGAAGGCCUUCGGGU
Molecule: ribosomal RNA, 399 nt
Filed under: uncultured Escherichia sp.
Lineage: Bacteria; Pseudomonadati; Pseudomonadota; Gammaproteobacteria; Enterobacterales; Enterobacteriaceae
Description: bacterial SSU rRNA
Rfam family: Bacterial small subunit ribosomal RNA
Source: RNAcentral